RNAcentral lists this unclassified non-coding RNA (21 nucleotides) under Chlamydomonas reinhardtii. RNAcentral's name for it is "small RNA Cre_3225". Lineage: Eukaryota; Viridiplantae; Chlorophyta; Chlorophyceae; Chlamydomonadales; Chlamydomonadaceae. The record is from RNAcentral.
UGGACGACGAGCGAUGGCGGG